RNAcentral lists this unclassified non-coding RNA (194 nucleotides) under uncultured fungus. Its description in RNAcentral is "sequence contains ITS1". Lineage: Eukaryota; Fungi. The record is from RNAcentral.
UUAAAACUAUUGUAUAGUACUCGGACAUCACUAAAAACAGAGUUUGGGUUUCCUCUGGCAGGCACGCACCAGCCGGGGCCCGUGGUGUUUCCACGGCCUGCCAAAGCAACUAAGGUAUAGUAUUCAAGGGUGGGAGAUCUACCCGUGAGGGCAUGAACUCUGUAAUGAUCCUUCCGCAGGUUCACCUACGGAAA